UUUGACAUUUGGCAUAAUAAGAUUAGUAAUACCCAUAAGUGAUCUUUAUUGCCCAAACAGUGAGUCUACAAUGAGAGUUUCCCAUUCCUGCAAGAACUUAGAAGUGUUCUGACAUAGAUAGAUAGUACAUACUGUAUAGUAAGCACUGAACUUAAGUAACUCCAAUUGCAGUUGGUUAAUCAUUCUCUUCCAAAAUUAAGAUGUUACAAGUUAUAUCAACAACUUUUCCCAUUUGCCAUUAGUAUUUAAUACUAUUGCAUUCAUAAAUUGAUAUAGGAUAAGUUCAGAUUUACUUGACAGAGUGAAAGAUGAAGGGAAGGCCAAAAUUCACCUGCAACAAUUUUAGCAGAAAAGUUAUCGUGUGGCCGGUUAGAGAUAUAAUAAGGGUGAGAGCUAGGAACACAUUAAAAGCUAAGUCAGGCUAAAUGAAUGGCAAAUCGACAAAUUUGUUACUGGAGCAGCGGCCCACCCCGUGUAACGCUUACUUAUAUGCAAUCGAAGCCUAGACGAGACUGAUGAGAAACCAAAGGCAUCGUUGUCUGCCGCCAACACACUCCCUUUUGCCUACGAUGUCCUCCUCCUCUAUGUGCAACGGAUGAUGGUUCUGGUUGUGUACUCAAUAAGGUGAGUUCGCUGUUGCUUGAUUUAAAACUGGGACAAUAGGUUUCUUGAUUUGUCCCGUGGCAACCUUUUUUCUGGUAGGUUUUUUCAAACAAUUCUUCUUCUAUGAUAAGUUGAUAACACUGAGAUUAUCAGGAAAGGAUUCAGAGUUUGCUGAAUCCAGAUUACCACACACAUGAUGCAGAAUUAACAACCAGGACUUUGAAGGAUGGAUGACAGUGCUUAUUAUGUGGUAGAAAUCAAAUAUCGAAAGGAGAAUAUAAUGUUAUCGAAGUCGAGGGGAGAGACAUAUGGGCUGGGAGUUCUGGAUUUGAUGUCGUCACACUGAUCAAUUCCACCGUGCUAGAUGAAAAUGCCGUCGCCAUCGAUGCCUCGUUCGCCGUGUGUGCUGGCCCUUACCUCCGCACUGGCAUAUGGUAGUUUCUUCCUUCCUGAUGUUCAAUUGAUAAGCAUGAUCAUGUUGUGUCAUAGCGUGUACAUUUGCUCGGAAGAAAUAGGUGUCUGCUUAUUUCCUUUCUUUAGAUGUUCUUCUUUGUUUUGUUACUCCUACAUGAUGGAGAACGUAGUAAUUUCAAAAAUUUGCUACGCA
Triticum aestivum (bread wheat) is the source of this 1210-nucleotide long non-coding RNA. RefSeq lists it as uncharacterized. The transcript is spliced from 2 exons. Lineage: Eukaryota; Viridiplantae; Streptophyta; Magnoliopsida; Poales; Poaceae. The record is from RefSeq and is a predicted model, not a curated record.